Molecule: ribosomal RNA, 776 nt
Filed under: uncultured Neocallimastigales
Lineage: Eukaryota; Fungi; Neocallimastigomycota; Neocallimastigomycetes; Neocallimastigales
Description: partial large subunit ribosomal RNA
Rfam family: Eukaryotic large subunit ribosomal RNA
Source: RNAcentral
AUAUCAGUCAUGCAUAGCAUAUCAAUAAGCGGAGGAAAAGAAACUAACAAGGAUUCCCUUAGUAACGGCGAGUGAAGCGGGAAGAGCUCAAAUUUGAAAUCUUCAAGGUUCUACCUUGACGAAUUGUAGUUUAUAGAAGUGUUUUCUGUUAGUGGAGUGGCAAAAGUUCUUUGGAAUAGGACAUCAUAGAGGGUGAGAAUCCCGUAUUUGGUCAUUCCUCCUAGCGUUGUGAUACACUUUCAACGAGUCGGAUUGUUUGGGAAUGCAGUCCAAAAUGGGUGGUAAAUUUCAUCUAAAGCUAAAUAUUGGCGAGAGACCGAUAGCGAACAAGUACCGUGAGGGAAAGAUGAAAAGAACUUUGAAAAGAGAGUUAAACAGUACGUGAAAUUGUCAAAAGGGAAGCGUUUGACACCAGUGUUGUUUUUCCGAAAAUCAAUUACGAAUGUUUUAUUUUUGAGGAGUUAUGACUUCAUCGGCUUGCUCCUUUCUUUACUGAAACUUUCUUAAUGCACUUUUCGGUUAACAAGUCAACAUCAAUUUCUUUUGUUGUAAAAGGGUAUGAGGAAGGUGGCUUUCUUUUCGGAGAAAGUGUUUAUAGCCUUGUGCCUCUGCAAUCGGAGAGAUUGAGGUCUGCAGCGUAGAUCCUUCGGGGUUAGAUACGUUUGUGCUAAGUUAUAGCUUUUCAUAGACAACUUGUUGACUAUGUUUAGUCUUGUAGCUUACUCGCUGACGCUAUUUUACCUACGCUUAGGAUGUUGAUACUCUCACAGUCGAGC